Molecule: ribosomal RNA, 274 nt
Filed under: uncultured bacterium
Lineage: Bacteria
Description: partial 16S ribosomal RNA
Rfam family: Bacterial small subunit ribosomal RNA
Source: RNAcentral
AUACGGAGGGUGCAAGCGUUACUCGGAAUCACUGGGCGUAAAGCGCGCGCAGGCGGUCUUUUAAGUUGGAUGUGAAAGCCUACGGCUCAACCGUAGAACUGCAUCCAAAACUAUUAGACUAGAGUGUGGGAGAGGAAGAUGGAAUUAGUUGUGUAGGGGUAAAAUCCGUAGAGAUAACUAGGAAUACCAAAAGCGAAGGCAAUCUUCUGGAACACUACUGACGCUGAGGCGCGAAAGCGUGGGGAGCAAACAGGAGUAGAUACCCCAGUAGUCC